CCGACGGUGAGAGGCGAAAGCUAGGGGCACGAACCGGAUUAGAUACCCGGGUAGUCCUAGCCGUAAACGAUACUCGCUAGGUGUCGGCCACGGUGCGACCGUUGUCGGUGCCGUAGGGAAGCCGUGAAGCGAGCCACCUGGGAAGUACGGCCGCAAGGCUGAAACUUAAAGGAAUUGGCGGGGGAGCACCACAACGGGUGGAGCUUGCGGUUUAAUUGGAUUCAACGCCGGAAAUCUUACCGGGACCGACAGCAACAUGAAGGCCAGGCUGAAGACUUUGCCGGAUUAGCUGAGAGGUGGUGCAUGGCCGUCGUCAGUUCGUACUGUGAAGCAUCCUGUUAAGUC
This 345-nucleotide ribosomal RNA is filed under the name uncultured archaeon. RNAcentral describes it as "bacterial SSU rRNA". It matches the Rfam family "Archaeal small subunit ribosomal RNA", at positions 691 to 1035 of the family's 1478-position model. The record is from RNAcentral.